Epinephelus lanceolatus (giant grouper) is the source of this 1866-nucleotide non-coding RNA. NCBI's taxonomy places the organism in Eukaryota, Metazoa, Chordata, Actinopteri, Perciformes, Serranidae. The record is from RefSeq and is a predicted model, not a curated record.
UCCGAGCUGCAUUCAUCACCAGCAAAACUCUGGACUUCCUCUUUUAAAAAACCAGACAUUAUAACCAACAAGAGUGUCAUCAUUUACACGUUUUGUAUUCUGUGCAGCAGAGCUGACCUUCAGGGAAAUAGCCGGCAUCCUCGUGAGCGAUGGAGGAAAUCUAUGCCAAUGUUGAAAAUGCCAAACCUGUCAACCCGAGACCUUCAACAGCGCAGACGACAGGCACCAGGAGCUCAGAGAGAUUUCCUGGAGCUGUUGUUCUCUGCCUGGGGCUACUCAGUGUUCUCCUGCUGGCUGGGCUCACCGGCCUCGGUGUCUACUAGAAAAUCUGUCCAGCAGAGUGGAGGAUGUUCAGCUGUGUCUGUUAUUUCCUCUCCACUCGGUCUGAUUCUUGGGAAAAAGGCAGGCAGGACUGCAGAGACAGAGGAGCAGAUCUGGUCGUCAUCAACACUUUAGAAGAACAGGAAUUCAUCACUCAGAUCAUUAGGAGUAACACCUGGAUCGGUUUGAAUGACAGGGACAAAGAGGGCACCUGGAUGUGGACUGAUGGGACUCCACUGACUGUUGCGUACUGGAGAGGCUGGCCUGAUAACUGGCGUGAAGAGGACUGUGUAGAAAUCUUAGCUGGCAAGAAGACAAGAGAAAACUGGAAUGAUUUGCGAUGUGAUACCUCUAAGCCAUGGAUCUGUGAGAAAAUGCCGUAGCAUUUAAACCUGUAGUUGGUAAAAUAACAUUUUGUCAUAUUUGCUGAAGCUGUCACUGUGUCCACACAGUCCACACAAUCAUGUUCCUCUGCCUUCUUGUACUGCGUCUAAUGCCAUUAUUGCAUGUAAACAAAACCAAGAAGAGUCUCUAAUGCAGCUGUCGGUCAUGUCAAUCACUGCUCGUGACCAGCGGUCAAAUUAGGCUGAUUAAAUAUGGAUCAAGAUUGUUUGACUGCAUUGCCUUUUUCUCACCUCAAAUGUUUUCUCAAUCAUAUUAACCCUAUAUAUAACCAUAACCCUAUCAUUUCAUUUAAUUUAUUUGGUGAAUUUGAUAAUUUUGAUGACUGGGAUGCAGAAGAGAGGUUAGAGAAUGAAAAGAAAAGAAAAGAAAAGAAAAGAAAAGAAAAGGGAGAAACGGCACAAGGAGUCGCGGGUCUACACCAAUCACAGCCUCAGGAGCACAGCUGUAGGUCAGCUCUCUGACGCCGGCCUGGAAACUCGUCAGAUCAUGACCGUCACGGGACAUCGGUGUGAGAGCAGCCUGCAGGCUUAUUGGGCCCCGUCAGCGCAGGAGAGACGAGACUGGAGCAACAUCUUGUCGUCUCCAAAUGUCCCAACAAGCAGUGCUCAAUCUGUCAAUCUCCGUCCUUCAAAUGCCACUGUGAUGGACAUACCCAUAUCACUUUCAAAUGUCACUAUUAAUGGUAAUGUAGGCCUAGUAUUUAAUUUUAAAUAAGAAGAAGAAGAAGAUUUAUCUAUAUUAAUUUAUUUAUUUAUAAAAACAUAAAAUAUGAGCACAUAUUUACAAGCACGCAGACAGACAACAAACAAGAACAUGAACGUAUGCAAGCAUACAUGGAUGCAUCUUAUUUAAAGUGCAUAGUGAUUCUAGUAUUUAGUGACAAAAAAAUAAAUAAAAAAUACCAAUUAACAGGCUAGUUAAAACAGAGGCAAAUAGAAAUGUCUUAAGUUUACUUUUAAAAGAGCUCAGUGUUGGCGCAUUUCUGACAUUGCUUGGAAGGGCAUUCCAUCUGCUAGGAGCACAGCAGCUAAAUGCUGCCUCUCCAGCUUUAGUGUGCACACGGGGAACAACGAGGAGACCAUUAGCUGAUGACCUGAGAGUUCUCAUUGGCUCAUAUGGCACAAGUAAUUCUUUAAUAUA